AAACCAGACUCCUACGGGAGGCAGCAGUGGGGGAUAUUGCACAAUGGGGGGAACCCUGAUGCAGCGACGCCGCGUGGGUGAAGAAGCGCCUCGGCGCGUAAAGCCCUGUCAGCAGGGAAGAAAAUGACGGUACCUGAAGAAGAAGCCCCGGCUAACUACGUGCCAGCAGCCGCGGUAAUACGUAGGGGGCAAGCGUUAUCCGGAUUUACUGGGUGUAAAGGGAGCGUAGACGGCGAUGCAAGUCUGAAGUGAAAGGCGGGGGCCCAACCCCCGGACUGCUUUGGAAACUGUAUAGCUGGAGUGCAGGAGAGGUAAGUGGAAUUCCUAGUGUAGCGGUGAAAUGCGUAGAUAUUAGGAGGAACACCAGUGGCGAAGGCGGCUUACUGGACUGUAACUGACA
Molecule: ribosomal RNA, 400 nt
Filed under: uncultured bacterium
Lineage: Bacteria
Description: partial 16S ribosomal RNA
Rfam family: Bacterial small subunit ribosomal RNA
Source: RNAcentral